Molecule: ribosomal RNA, 301 nt
Filed under: uncultured bacterium
Lineage: Bacteria
Description: partial 16S ribosomal RNA
Rfam family: Bacterial small subunit ribosomal RNA
Source: RNAcentral
CAGUCGCCGCGGUAAUCCGUAGGUGGCAAGCGUUGUCCGGAAUUAUUGGGCGUAAAGGGCUCGCAGGCGGUUUCUUAAGUCUGAUGUGAAAGCCCCCGGCUCAACCGGGGAGGGUCAUUGGAAACUGGGAAACUUGAGUGCAGAAGAGGAGAGUGGAAUUCCACGUGUAGCGGUGAAAUGCGUAGAGAUGUGGAGGAACACCAGUGGCGAAGGCGACUCUCUGGUCUGUAACUGACGCUGAGGAGCGAAAGCGUGGGGAGCGAACAGGAUUAGAUACCCCCGUAGUCCCUGUCUCUUAUAA